RNAcentral lists this non-coding RNA (45 nucleotides) under Schistosoma mattheei. The record is from RNAcentral. Lineage: Eukaryota; Metazoa; Platyhelminthes; Trematoda; Strigeidida; Schistosomatidae.
GUCCAGCUGAUUCAUCCCAAAUAGGAUGAAACGCACGUCCUGGAU